RNAcentral lists this ribosomal RNA (489 nucleotides) under uncultured bacterium. Its description in RNAcentral is "bacterial SSU rRNA". It matches the Rfam family "Bacterial small subunit ribosomal RNA", at positions 28 to 517 of the family's 1533-position model. The record is from RNAcentral.
GAUGAACGCUAGCGGCAGGCUUAAUACAUGCAAGUCGAACGGCAAGGACUUUCGGGUCCCUAGAGUGGCGCACGGGUGAGUAACACGUACACAACAUACCCUAUAUUGGAGGAUAGCCUUGGGAAACUGGGGGUAAUAUUCCAUAGUAUUUAUUGGAGGCAUCUCUGAUAAAUUAAAGAGCAAUCGAUAUAGGAUUGGUGUGCGUCCCAUUAGCUAGUUGGUAGGGUAACGGCCUACCAAGGCUACGAUGGGUAGCUGGCGUGAGAGCGCGACCAGCCACACUGGAACUGAGACACGGUCCAGACUCCUACGGGAGGCAGCAGUAGGGAAUAUUGGACAAUGGAGGCAACUCUGAUCCAGCCAUGCCGCGUGGAGGAUGACUGCCCUCUGGGUUGUAAACUCCUUUUGUACAGGAAGAAACCUCCUCAUUUAUGAGUGAGCUGACGGUACUGUAAGAAUAAGCACCGGCUAACUCCGUGCCAGCAGCCG